GACGAACGCUGGCGGCGUGCCUAAUACAUGCAAGUCGAGCGAGUCUGCCUUGAAGAUCGGAGUGCUUGCACUCUGUGAAACAAGAUACAGGCUAGCGGCGGACGGGUGAGUAACACGUGGGUAACCUGCCCAAGAGAUCGGGAUAACACCUGGAAACAGAUGCUAAUACCGGAUAACAACAGAUGAUGCCUAUCAACUGUUUAAAAGAUGGUUCUGCUAUCACUCUUGGAUGGACCUGCGCUGCAUUAGCUAGUUGGUAGGGUAACGGCCUACCAAGGCGAUGAUGCAUAGCCGAGUUGAGAGACUGAUCGGCCACAUUGGGACUGAGACACGGCCCAAACUCCUACGGGAGGCAGCAGUAGGGAAUCUUCCACAAUGGACGCAAGUCUGAUGGAGCAACGCCGCGUGAGUGAAGAAGGGUUUCGGCUCGUAAAGCUCUGUUGUUGGUGAAGAAGGACAGGGGUAGUAACUGACCUUUGUUUGACGGUAAUCAAUGAGAAAGUCACGGCUAACUACGUG
RNAcentral lists this ribosomal RNA (519 nucleotides) under uncultured bacterium. RNAcentral describes it as "partial 16S ribosomal RNA". It matches the Rfam family "Bacterial small subunit ribosomal RNA", at positions 28 to 507 of the family's 1533-position model. The record is from RNAcentral.